Molecule: unclassified non-coding RNA, 146 nt
Filed under: soil metagenome
Description: partial internal transcribed spacer 1
Source: RNAcentral
UAAUAAGUGUUUUAUGGCACUUUUUAAAUCCAUAUCCACCUGUGUGCAAUGUCGGUCGAUCUUCCUUUCUUGAGGAUCGACCAAACAUCAACCUUUAUCUUUUAACUCUUUGUCUGAAAAAUAUUAUGAAUAAACAAUUCAAAAUA